UUGAACGCUGGCGGCAUGCUUUACACAUGCAAGUCGAACGGCAGCGGGGGCUUCGGCCUGCCGGCGAGUGGCGAACGGGUGAGUAAUGCAUCGGAACGUACCCAGUCGUGGGGGAUAACUACGCGAAAGCGUGGCUAAUACCGCAUACGCCCUGAGGGGGAAAGCGGGGGACCUUCGGGCCUCGCGCGAUUGGAGCGGCUGAUGUCGGAUUAGGUAGUUGGUGGGAUAAAAGCUUACCAAGCCGACGAUCUGUAGCUGGUCUGAGAGGACGACCAGCCACACUGGGACUGAGACACGGCCCAGACUCCUACGGGAGGCAGCAGUGGGGAAUUUUGGACAAUGGGGGAAACCCUGAUCCAGCCAUGCCGCGUGCAGGAUGAAGGCCUUCGGGUUGUAAACUGCUUUUGUACGGAACGAAAAGAUCUCUUCUAAUAAAGGGGGUUCAUGACGGUACCGUAAGAAUAAGCACCGGCUAACUACGU
RNAcentral lists this ribosomal RNA (482 nucleotides) under uncultured bacterium. RNAcentral's name for it is "bacterial SSU rRNA". It matches the Rfam family "Bacterial small subunit ribosomal RNA", at positions 30 to 506 of the family's 1533-position model. The record is from RNAcentral.